CCUACGGGAGGCAGCAGUGAGGAAUAUUGGACAAUGGACGAAAGUCUGAUCCAGCUAUGCCGCGUGCAGGAUGACGGCCCUAUGGGUUGUAAACUGCUUUUAUACAGGAAGAAAAACUCCGACGUGUCGGAACUUGACGGUACUGUAAGAAUAAGGAUCGGCUAACUCCGUGCCAGCAGCCGCGGUAAUACGGAGGAUCCAAGCGUUAUCCGGAAUCAUUGGGUUUAAAGGGUCCGUAGGCGGUUUUUUAAGUCAGAGGUGAAAUCCUGCAGCUCAACUGUAGAAUUGCCUUUGAUACUGAAAGACUUGAGUUAUUGUGAAGUGGUUAGAAUGUGUGGUGUAGCGGUGAAAUGCAUAGAUAUCACACAGAAUACCAAUUGCGAAGGCAGAUCACUAACAAUAUACUGACGCUCAGGGACGAAAGCGUGGGUAGCGAGCAGGAUUAGAUACCCUGGUAGUCCACGCCGUAAACGAUGGAUACUAGCUGUAUGUCUACUUCAGGUAGAUGUGUGGCUAGGCGAAAGUGAUAAGUAUCCCACCUGGGGGGUACGAUCGCAAGAUUGAAACUCAAAGGAAUUGACGG
RNAcentral lists this ribosomal RNA (583 nucleotides) under uncultured bacterium. Its description in RNAcentral is "bacterial SSU rRNA". It matches the Rfam family "Bacterial small subunit ribosomal RNA", at positions 338 to 916 of the family's 1533-position model. The record is from RNAcentral.